UCCGACUUGUCGCCGGCAGUCCCUCUAGAGUGCCCAACCGAAUGCUGGCAACUAGAGGCGAGGGUUGCGCUCGUUGCGGGACUUAACCCAACAUCUCACGACACGAGCUGACGACAACCAUGCACCACCUGUCACCCUGUCCCCCCGAAGGGGGAACGCCCAAUCUCUUGGGUUGUCAGGGGAUGUCAAGACCUGGUAAGGUUCUUCGCGUUGCUUCGAAUUAAACCACAUGCUCCACCGCUUGUGCGGGCCCCCGUCAAUUCCUUUGAGUUUCAGCCUUGCGGCCGUACUCCCCAGGCGGAGUGCUUAUCGCGUUAGCUGCAGCACUAAAGGGUGUGACCCCUCUAACACUUAGCACUCAUCGUUUACGGCGUGGACUAC
RNAcentral lists this unclassified non-coding RNA (381 nucleotides) under uncultured Bacillaceae bacterium. RNAcentral's name for it is "contains 16S-23S intergenic spacer region". The record is from RNAcentral. Lineage: Bacteria; Bacillati; Bacillota; Bacilli; Caryophanales; Bacillaceae.